Molecule: ribosomal RNA, 834 nt
Filed under: Zasmidium citrigriseum
Lineage: Eukaryota; Fungi; Ascomycota; Dothideomycetes; Mycosphaerellales; Mycosphaerellaceae
Description: partial large subunit ribosomal RNA
Rfam family: Eukaryotic large subunit ribosomal RNA
Source: RNAcentral
CAGGGAUUGCCCUAGUAACGGCGAGUGAAGCGGCAACAGCUCAAAUUUGAAACCUGGCGCUUGCGUCCGGAUUGUAAUUUGUAGAGGAUGCUUCUGGGCAGCGGCCGUUCUAAGUUCCUUGGAACAGGACGUCAUAGAGGGUGAGAAUCCCGUAUGUGACCGGCGCGCACCCUCCACGUAGCUCCUUCGACGAGUCGAGUUGUUUGGGAAUGCAGCUCUAAAUGGGAGGUAAAUUUCUUCUAAAGCUAAAUAUUGGCCAGAGACCGAUAGCGCACAAGUAGAGUGAUCGAAAGAUGAAAAGCACUUUGGAAAGAGAGUUAAAAAGCACGUGAAAUUGUUGAAAGGGAAGCGCUUCCAACCAGACUCCGCGGCGGUGUUCCGCCGGUCUUCUGACCGGUCCACUCGCCGCCGUGGGGCCAACAUCGUCUGGGGCCGCCGGAUAAGACCGGAGGAAUGUAGCUCAUUGAGUGUUAUAGCCUCCGGUGAUGCGGCGCGUCCCGGGCGAGGUCCGCGCUUCGGCAAGGAUGUUGGCGUAAUGGUUGGCAGCGGCCCGUCUUGAAACACGGACCAAGGAGUCUAACAUCUAUGCGAGUGUUCGGGUGUCAAACCCCUACGCGUAAUGAAAGUGAACGGAGGUGGGAGCUUCGGCGCACCAUCGACCGAUCCUGAUGUCCUCGGAUGGAUUUGAGUAAGAGCAUAGCUGUUGGGACCCGAAAGAUGGUGAACUAUGCCUGAAUAGGGUGAAGCCAGAGGAAACUCUGGUGGAGGCUCGCAGCGGUUCUGACGUGCAAAUCGAUCGUCAAAUUUGGGUAUAGGGGCGAAAGACUAAUCGAA